CCGUCCACACGCCCGCCCGCCCGUCCACACGCCCGCCCGUCCGUCCACAUGUCUGACCGUCCGUCCACAUGCCCGCCGUCCAUCCACAUGGCCGCCAUCGACUGACGUCAGCAGACCUCAGUAUUCCCUGUCUCCAUCCACAUCACUCGCUCUUCCAGGGCAGUCUUGCCUAGGGAGAUGAAGAUGGCAAACAACCUUGCUGUUCAGCUCAGGAACUUCCAACAUGCAAUGGACACUUCUGUAGGAGGCAUCAAGCCGUUCUUGGUGAUAUCUGUGUCUUCAUCACGUGCUGGUUGCACGGGUGUUUAGGUAGGAACUCUCUGUGGAGCUGUGGGCAUGACUGUGUCUGUGUCUUCAGUAGAGUUGAGAGGUUUGAGAGCAGUCAUGAGGAUUAACAGCAGAUACCAGGAGGCUGCUCGCUGGUCCUGUCAACACGGCCAUGUAGUCAGGAUGCCAGCUCCCCCACCAAGUCAACUUUGGGGAGCUUGGCAGAGCCGUGACUCCAGGAGGCAUCCCUGGACUCUCGAAGCCCCCUGCUGUGUGUGUGUCAGGGGGCUCUGAGCCCAGUGAGUGGCUGUCCCUGGGGCAGGCAGGGGGCACUUGAGGUGCCACAGAGGACACGGACCGUAGGAACCACGAGAGGGGCGGAUGGCCCAGAGCCAGGGUGUGGAUGACUGCCCUGGGCAGCUGGGGUCGGGAGGCAGCCUUUUCACUUCAAUGAGAAUGGUGUGCAGCUGGGAUGGGACAGCCUCUCAGAAGGAGAGAAGGGACGUAACAGAAAGCAGCAGCAGGCAAACCCCGGCCGAACAGUCCCUGUGACACUCCUUGAGGGCCUGGAGCCAGCUGGAGCCAACAGGUGCCACAUCCAGGGCCAGCUUCCAGGACUCAGGAAGGAGCGACGUGCAGCCGGCUGCGGUGGCUAGGUGGGGCCAGGGAUGCUGCUGAACGUCCCACCACACCCAGGAGCCAUCUGCCCAGGCACAGCUCUUCUGUGAAGUACCUGCUGGGUGCCAGGUCUGGGCGGGGACCCACAGAGUCUCCACAGGUGGGGGACUUACCCUCCUCAU
This 1067-nucleotide long non-coding RNA is filed under the name Homo sapiens (human). RNAcentral's name for it is "PREDICTED lncRNA (TCONS_00076802)". The record is from RNAcentral. Lineage: Eukaryota; Metazoa; Chordata; Mammalia; Primates; Hominidae.